Sebastes umbrosus (honeycomb rockfish) is the source of this 2197-nucleotide RNA transcript. It is a transcript of the gene named interferon-induced protein with tetratricopeptide repeats 1-like, with no coding region annotated. Lineage: Eukaryota; Metazoa; Chordata; Actinopteri; Perciformes; Sebastidae. The record is from RefSeq and is a predicted model, not a curated record. The transcript is spliced from 4 exons.
UUAAGAUUGAACACAAGACACUGUGCUCAAAUGCCCCUCCUCUACAGUCUGCUUCCACGUCAUGAACAUUUCUGCUGGGUCCUCAACAACAUCACAUCAUUUACAACAAAGCAGAAGUUGGACAUCACUGACUUUAUACCAGCGAACCCAAAUCCAGCAUCAAGAGCAAAAACCAGCCCAAUAUUUAGAGAACUACUGAGUCGAGGAAACAGCUGAAUGAUGAGUGCUGCUCAGAGUCAAACAACACUGGAGUCCAAACUGGAGGCCCUGCAGUGCCACUUCACCUGGGAUCUGGACCCCAGCAGGAACAAACGUCUCCGUUUCCGUGACCAGCUGGAGGACAUCGGCACAGAGGAGGGAAACAGCUGGCUGGGUCACAUUUACAACCUGCGGGGUUUCAUUCAAUACAAGUUGGGGCUCACUAAAGACGCCCAGAGUUUGUUCAACAAGGCUGCAGAGGCCUUCCACCAGAUGAGAAGUGCAGAUGAGGGUCCCUGGUUAGUGGUGAACUACGGGAACCUGGCUUGGCUGAACCACCACCUGCGAGACCAAGCAGAGAGUCAGGCUUACCUGACAAAGAUCAACGCCCUGAUGAAUAAAUACCCAUCUCCAUCCCAGGACGAGCUCCAUCCAGAGAUCUACGCUGAAAAAGCCUGGACCCUGAUGAAUUUCAGCACAGACAAAAAUCCGGCUGCAGAUUACUUCCAGAGAGCCAUCAAGAUGCAGCCGGACAUGGUGGAGUGGAACACCAGCCACGUCUUAGUGUUAGCGAGAGCUUUUAAACACAGCAACACGGAGCUGGAGGCUGACAUGUUGGAGAAAGUGAGAAUCGCCAAGGAACAGGAUCCAGAGAACUUGUACCUCGCUGCUUACUACCUUGAGCAAUGUGGUAAGAAAGGAGAGAGAAUUGAAGAUGAAGCACGAGAGUUAGCCAGAAAGGUUUUGAGAAAUCCCGUCAGAAGCUACAAUGGUAUGAAACCAUUAAUAAGGGUUUACAGUCAUUAUAUUUCUUUUGAUGAGGCCAUUAAAUUGGCAGACGAGGCUCUGGAAAACCAUCCAGAUGAGCGUUAUCUGAAGAGAUGUGCUGCACUCUGUUACAAAUGGAAGAUCAUUCAUUUUAGAGAAAGUCGCCCAAAGCAAAGCAUGAUAGACAGAGCAAUCAGUCUCCAUAAGGAGGUGAUUUCUCUUUACCCUCAUUCUCGAUUUGUGAAGGAAAUAGACCUCGCAAAUAUGUACGCAAAUUCCAAUCACGGCCAGGCUAAAGCUGAGCAGAUGCAUCAGGAAAUGCUAGAAAGGGAUUUGGAACCUCCAGAGAAGCAGGUCCUUUACAACCACUACGCAAAAUAUUUAUACUACGAUCAACGGGAGUACCAAAGUUCAAUACGAUAUCACAUGAAGGCGGCAGAGAUACCACAACAAUCCUUCUUUCGUGGGAACAGCAUCACAACUCUGAAGAAUAUUAAAGCCAAAGGCUGGAACCCAAUGUGUAGAGAAAUAGAGGAGUUUCUGGAAAACCUGCAAGAGCCAUAGUGUUUUGAACAUCACUGGUUCUAAAUCCAAAAAAUAAAUGUUGGUAUUGCAUUACCUAAAAAAAUCUGUACGCACUUAUUGAUUGAGCUGUAUCCUUUAAAGGCAGGUUUCAACAAGUGUCUGCACGUUUUUAGACUUAAGUACAUUUAAUGGAAGACAAAAGCUUUUUUUUAAAACUAUGUAAAAAUCUACACAUUUGCUCUGAAAAACUGUCAGCAGUAGUACACUCAAUCUGUACUAAACAGGCUGAAUCAUUCAAUAACACUAGUCCUUUAAAUAACAUCCACUGUGGACAUGUUCAAAUGUUAUUACUAUAGUUCAGUAUCACAUGAUUUAUUAAAAUAGAUUUUGAUCAGUGUUGAUUUUCAUAACUUACAUGUAAUCACUGUGUUUAUUAUAUUCCUGUUGUGUUGAUUGUUUUUUUUCCAUAGCACUGUAUUUUAAGUUUAUAUAAGAACUCCACUAUAUGUAAUUUGAAUGUCUGUAAGCUUUGGAGUAGUGAAAUAUAAAACUCUCUGAUAAUGUUAUAGAUAAUUUGAUGUAACCUGAAUAUUAUUGCCAGAUGCAACUGAUUGUAUGUAUAAAGUAUGUCAAGCUGUGUCUCAGUUGUACACAAUAGCCUACUAAUACUAAUAAAUAUACAUUAUGUACACUAAGAAAUCUUUAA